Molecule: ribosomal RNA, 497 nt
Filed under: uncultured bacterium
Lineage: Bacteria
Description: partial 16S ribosomal RNA
Rfam family: Bacterial small subunit ribosomal RNA
Source: RNAcentral
GAUGAACGCUGGCGGCGUGCCUAAUACAUGCAAGUCGAGCGAACAGACGCUUAGGUUUCUCCUCUUACGUUAGCGGCGAACGGGUGAGUAACACGUGGAUAACCUACCUAUGAUACUGGGAUAACUUCGGGAAACCGGCGCUAAUACCGCAUAAUAUAUUUAACCGCAUGGUUCAAUAGUUAAAGGCGGGUUUGCUGUCACUUGUAGAUGAAUCCGCGCCGCAUUUGCUAGUUGGCAAGGUAACGGCUUACCAAGGGGACGAUGCGUAGCCGCCAUGAGAGGGUGAUCGGCCACCCUGGAACUGAGACACGGUCCAGACUCCUACGGGAGGCAGCAGUAGGGAAUCGGCCGCAAUGGGCGAAAGCUUGACGGAGAAACGCCGCGGGAUGGAGGAAGGACGCCGGAUCGUAAAUCUCUGUUAUCAGGGAAGAACAAAUGUGUAAGUCACUCGGAGCGUCUUGACGGUAACGUACAAGAAAGCGACGGGUAAAUACGUG